GCCCUUCGAAGGUUUUCUUUUAUUAAAAAUAAAUUCAAAUUUAUAUAUGCGAUUUGAAAUCUUCUAGCCGAAAUGUGAUUAUAUUGCUUUGGUUUAAUAUCAUUGUAUACGAAGUUAGAAACUGGCCAGAGGCGUGCCUACAGUGUAUUGAAAAAGGAAUUCACCUCAGGCCCCCGAUUAAUAUGACUAUUUUUAGGGCCCCAAAAUUUAAAAUAAUUUCUAAUCUAGUGGUUUAGACUUAUUAAAAAAAACAUUUCUACGAAAAUUAAUUAACUCAUUUCCUGAAUUCAUGUAUUUUUUUUCUAUAUAACAUAAUAUAACAUAUUUACGUUAUAAACUUAUUUUUUUACAGUAUUAGACUUGUGUAUUUGAUGAAAAUAAUAUAUCAUAUUAGAAAAUUAUUCUCAUUACUGUUGUAAAUAAGUUUAUUUUUAGAACUUGCCUUAGGCCCCUUAAACUCUUCGCACGGCACUGAACCUGGCAGAUAGUAUAGUAGGGCGAUUGAGUAGAUCCAUCAUUGAAAUUAUCGUUAUAGCUAAACGACAAUGUCAAAUACCACUGGCUUUGAGUCCGGUUUUACAAAUCUAAAACCCAUCUCACUUAAGUUUAGCUUUGAAUGUUUUUUGUCUUUAUCUCAUAGUUAAGAAAAAGUAAAAUAAUAGACCUUUUAAGAAUCUAAUCUAUGGUAUGGUUUGCUGGUUACACAUUUUGUUUAUAACACACCUGUCGUUUAUUCCUGGAUUUUUAAGGGCAACAUCUAUCAUCUGGUUUACAUGUACCCU
This 782-nucleotide long non-coding RNA is filed under the name Brassica rapa (field mustard). RNAcentral describes it as "long non-coding RNA (BRAP_LNC002680)". Lineage: Eukaryota; Viridiplantae; Streptophyta; Magnoliopsida; Brassicales; Brassicaceae. The record is from RNAcentral.